Molecule: small RNA, 538 nt
Filed under: Pongo abelii (Sumatran orangutan)
Lineage: Eukaryota; Metazoa; Chordata; Mammalia; Primates; Hominidae
Description: retained intron
Source: RNAcentral
AAAUUAGCCAGGCAUGGUGGCAGGUGCCUGUAAUCCCACUACUCAGGAGGCUGAGGCAGGAGAAUCACUUGAACCCAGGAGGCGGAGGUUGCAGUGAGCUGAGACUGUACCACAACACUCCAGCCUGGGCAACAGAGUGAAAUUCCAUCUCAAAAAAAAAAAGUUAAUCCUUUAAAGCCUAUUUGUUCUCCAAAUUACAUCACUUUACAGACACUCAAAUGGUUUCAAGCAAUAUAAUCACUCCCAUCUCCCUUGAUGAUGUCCCACCACGGAUAGCUCGGGCCAUGGAAAAUGAGGAAUACUGGGACUUUGAUAUUUUUGAACUGGAGGCUGCCACCCACAAUAGGCCUUUGAUUUAUCUUGGUCUCAAAAUGUUUGCUCGCUUUGGAAUCUGUGAAUUCUUACAUUGCUCCGAAUCAACGCUAAGAUCAUGGUUACAAAUUAUCGAAGCCAAUUAUCAUUCCUCCAAUCCCUACCACAAUUCUACACAUUCUGCUGAUGUGCUUCAUGCCACUGCCUAUUUUCUCUCCAAGGAGAG